UGGGGAAUAUUGGACAAUGGGGGAAACCCUGAUCCAGCAAUGCCGCGUGAGUGAAGAAGGCCUUAGGGUUGUAAAGCUCUUUCGCCCGCGAAGAUAAUGACGGUAGCGGGAGAAGAAGCCCCGGCUAACUCCGUGCCAGCAGCCGCGGUAAUACGUAGGGGGCAAGCGUUGUCCGGAUUUACUGGGUGUAAAGGGCGCGCAGGCGGGAUGGAAAGUCAGUGGUGAAAUCCUACAGCUUAACUGUAGAACUGCCUUUGAUACUUUCAAUCUUGAGUUCGGGGAAAAGAGACGGAAUUCCAGGUGUAGUGGUGAAAUACGUAGAUAUCUGGAAGAACACCAGGUGCGAAGGCGGUCUCUCGGUCCGAUACUGACGCUGAGGGGCGAAAGCGUGGGGAGCAAACA
RNAcentral lists this ribosomal RNA (402 nucleotides) under uncultured bacterium. RNAcentral's name for it is "bacterial SSU rRNA". It matches the Rfam family "Bacterial small subunit ribosomal RNA", at positions 355 to 774 of the family's 1533-position model. The record is from RNAcentral.